CCUACGGGUGGCUGCAGUGGGGAAUAUUGGACAAUGGGGGCAACCCUGAUCCAGCCAUGCCGUGUGUGUGAAGAAGGCCCUCGGGUUGUAAAGCACUUUCAGUGAGGAAGAACGCCUGGUGGUUAAUACCCAUCAGGAAAGACAUCACUCACAGAAGAAGCACCGGCUAACUCCGUGCCAGCAGCCGCGGUAAUACGGAGGGUGCGAGCGUUAAUCGGAAUUACUGGGCGUAAAGCGCGCGUAGGUGGCUUGAUAAGCCGGUUGUGAAAGCCCCGGGCUCAACCUGGGAACGGCAUCCGGAACUGUCAAGCUAGAGUGCAGGAGAGGAAGGUAGAAUUCCCGGUGUAGCGGUGAAAUGCGUAGAGAUCGGGAGGAAUACCAGUGGCGAAGGCGGCCUUCUGGACUGACACUGACACUGAGGUGCGAAAGCGUGGGUAGCAAACAGGAUUAGAUACCCGAGUAGUC
This 465-nucleotide ribosomal RNA is filed under the name Vreelandella stevensii. Its description in RNAcentral is "partial 16S ribosomal RNA". It matches the Rfam family "Bacterial small subunit ribosomal RNA", at positions 338 to 795 of the family's 1533-position model. The record is from RNAcentral. Lineage: Bacteria; Pseudomonadati; Pseudomonadota; Gammaproteobacteria; Oceanospirillales; Halomonadaceae.